Molecule: ribosomal RNA, 491 nt
Filed under: uncultured bacterium
Lineage: Bacteria
Description: bacterial SSU rRNA
Rfam family: Bacterial small subunit ribosomal RNA
Source: RNAcentral
CCUGGCUCAGGAUGAACGCUGGCGGCGUGCCUAACACAUGCAAGUCGAGCGAGAAACCUGCAAUUGAAACUUCGGUAGAUUUUGCGGGCGGAAAGCGGCGGACGGGUGAGUAACGCGUAGGCAACCUGCCCUUUGCAGAGGGAUAGCAACGGGAAACUGUUAUUAAAACCUCAUAAUACCGACAUGUCAAAUGACAAGACGGUCAAAGAUUUAUCGGCAAAGGAUGGGCCUGCGUCUGAUUAGUUAGUUGGUAGGGUAACGGCCUACCAAGGCAGCGAUCAGUAGCCGACCUGAGAGGGUGAUCGGCCACAUUGGAACUGAGACACGGUCCAAACUCCUACGGGAGGCAGCAGUGGGGAAUAUUGCACAAUGGGCGAAAGCCUGAUGCAGCAACGCCGCGUGAAGGAUGAAGGCCUUUGGGCCGUAAACUUCUGUCCUUGGGGAAGAAAAAAAUGACGGUACCCCUGGAGGAAGUCCCGGCUAACUACGUG